Molecule: long non-coding RNA, 651 nt
Organism: Osmia bicornis bicornis
Lineage: Eukaryota; Metazoa; Arthropoda; Insecta; Hymenoptera; Megachilidae
Exons: 2
Source: RefSeq, a predicted model, not a curated record
GACUUCUGCAACUGUGUUUCAGUAUUGUGCAAGGAAAAAGAAGACCCUAUGCUAGGAGAUUCUCCCUUAACAUCCUCUAUAUACAUAACAUUAACACCACGCAGACUAUUUUUGCGACUCUUCCUCCUUCUGGCUUUUACUAACUUCUUUGCUAACGGCGGCAUUUUGUCGAUUCAAAUAUACCGAUUAUAACUAAUAUUCUAUAAUGUAAUCGGUUAUAAUUUAGACUUACAGUUUGUUGCGACGAAUCAAUUAGUAUUCCGCAAAAAGUCACUUUAAAGUUUUUGCUAAAUUAAACCUUCUCUUUGCAGGUGUACGGUCCUAUCCGUCGGCGACCCGUUGAUUAGGUUGACCUCGGUUUAUGGGAAGAUUCCUUAGUACUCCGGCUCGAUGGUCCCCAAUUCAGCAACAGGUACCCCAGUAGGAUCCGUCCGCAAUCAGCUGCUUCAGGAAUGAUUUCAAUGAUGACGUGGAUGAGGUGCGUGUGAUUUCGGUGGAUGGCUUGCACGGCAGCCGAAAUCACCUGUCUCCGGUAUUUACCCUUCGCUCCUGGGGAAACCGUGCCAAAACCCAAGAGGGAGAAGUUGCACUUAACUUUGUCCACUUAUUUAAUAUGUAACAGUUCAAUAAAAUAGUUUGUAGAAUUUUUAA